UACGUAGGGUGCAAGCGUUACUCGGAAUUACUGGGCGUAAAGCGUGCGCAGGCGGGGAUGUAAGUCAGGGGUGAAAUCCCCGGGCUUAACCUGGGAACUGCAUUUGUGACUGCAUCGCUGGAGUGCGGCAGAGGGGGAUGGAAUUCCGCGUGUAGCAGUGAAAUGCGUAGAUAUGCGGAGGAACACCGAUGGCGAAGGCAAUCCCCUGGGCCUGCACUGACGCUCAUGCACAAAAGCGUGGGGAGCAAACAGG
Molecule: ribosomal RNA, 253 nt
Filed under: uncultured bacterium
Lineage: Bacteria
Description: partial 16S ribosomal RNA
Rfam family: Bacterial small subunit ribosomal RNA
Source: RNAcentral